This 690-nucleotide ribosomal RNA is filed under the name uncultured Bacilli bacterium. RNAcentral's name for it is "bacterial SSU rRNA". It matches the Rfam family "Bacterial small subunit ribosomal RNA", at positions 45 to 727 of the family's 1533-position model. The record is from RNAcentral. Lineage: Bacteria; Bacillati; Bacillota; Bacilli.
UGAUUGAACGUGCUUGCACGGACUUGACGUUGGUUUACCAACGAGUGGCGGACGGGUGAGUAACACGUAGGUAACCUGCCCCAAAGCGGGGGAUAACAUUUGGAAACAGAUGCUAAUACCGCAUAAUAAUUUGAAUCGCAUGAUUCAAAUUUAAAAGAUGGCUUCGGCUAUCACUUUGGGAUGGACCUGCGGCGCAUUAGCUUGUUGGUAGGGUAACAGCCUACCAAGGCUGUGAUGCGUAGCCGAGUUGAGAGACUGAUCGGCCACAAUGGAACUGAGACACGGUCCAUACUCCUACGGGAGGCAGCAGUAGGGAAUCUUCCACAAUGGGCGCAAGCCUGAUGGAGCAACACCGCGUGAGUGAAGAAGGGUUUCGGCUCGUAAAGCUCUGUUGUUAGAGAAGAACGUGCGUGAGAGCAACUGUUCACGCAGUGACGGUAUCUAACCAGAAAGUCACGGCUAACUACGUGCCAGCAGCCGCGGUAAUACGUAGGUGGCAAGCGUUAUCCGGAUUUAUUGGGCGUAAAGCGAGCGCAGGCGGUUUGAUAAGUCUGAUGUGAGAGCCUUUGGCUUAACCAAAGAAGUGCAUCGGAAACUGUCAGACUUGAGUGCAGAAGAGGACGGUGGAACUCCAUGUGUAGCGGUGGAAUGCGUAGAUAUAUGGAAGAACACCAGUGGCGAAGGCGGCUG